UACGUAGGGUGCAAGCGUUGUCCGGAAUUAUUGGGCGUAAAGAGCUCGUAGGCGGUUUGUCGCGUCUGCUGUGAAAACGCGAGGCUCAACCUCGCGCCUGCAGUGGGUACGGGCAGACUAGAGUGCGGUAGGGGAGAUUGGAAUUCCUGGUGUAGCGGUGGAGUGCGCAGAUAUCGGGAGGAACACCGGUGGCGAAGGCGGUUCUCUGGGCCUGUACUGACGCUGAGGAGCGAAAGCGUGGGGAGCGAACAGG
RNAcentral lists this ribosomal RNA (253 nucleotides) under uncultured bacterium. Its description in RNAcentral is "partial 16S ribosomal RNA". It matches the Rfam family "Bacterial small subunit ribosomal RNA", at positions 524 to 776 of the family's 1533-position model. The record is from RNAcentral.